GUUCCCUUCAACUUUAACAUGGGAGUGCUUUCUGUCUUAUUUAAGAAAGAGUAAGUGCUUCUCUGUUUUAGUAGAAGU
This 78-nucleotide microRNA precursor is filed under the name Microtus ochrogaster (prairie vole). RNAcentral describes it as "miRNA (ENSMOCG00000008576.1)". It matches the Rfam family "mir-302 microRNA precursor family". The record is from RNAcentral. Lineage: Eukaryota; Metazoa; Chordata; Mammalia; Rodentia; Cricetidae.